GCGUAACGCGUAUGCAACCUACCUCUUACAGUGGGAUAGCCCAGAGAAAUUUGGAUUAAUACCGCAUAGUAUACAGAUUCAGCAUUGGGACUGUAUUAAACAUUUAUGGGUAAGAGAUGGGCAUGCGUUCUAUUAGUUAGUUGGAGUGGUAACGGCACCCCCAAGACAGCGAUAGAUAGGGGCCCUGAGAGGGGGAUCCCCCACACUGGUACUGAGACACGGACCAGACUCCUACGGGAGGCAGCAGUGAGGAAUAUUGGACAAUGGGCGAGAGCCUGAUCCAGCCAUGCCGCGUGCAGGAAGACGGCCCUAUGGGUUGUAAACUGCUUUUGUACGGGAAGAAACACCCCCUCGUGAGGGGGCUUGACGGUACCGUAAGAAUAAGGAUCGGCUAACUCCGUG
This 402-nucleotide ribosomal RNA is filed under the name uncultured bacterium. RNAcentral describes it as "bacterial SSU rRNA". It matches the Rfam family "Bacterial small subunit ribosomal RNA", at positions 108 to 507 of the family's 1533-position model. The record is from RNAcentral.